RNAcentral lists this ribosomal RNA (658 nucleotides) under Porpidia sp. RNAcentral's name for it is "SSU rRNA". It matches the Rfam family "Bacterial small subunit ribosomal RNA", at positions 358 to 1094 of the family's 1533-position model. The record is from RNAcentral. Lineage: Eukaryota; Fungi; Ascomycota; Lecanoromycetes; Lecideales; Lecideaceae.
AGGAUGUAUGGCAAUAGCUGGUUGCAUUAAGUAAAAGUUAGUGUAAGAUCGACUCUGUCGAAUAAAAUUCUAGGUAGAGUUAUGAUAAUGACAUUAUCUAUCUAUGUGUCUUGACCAAAAUACGUGCCAGCAGUCGCGGUAAUACGUAAAAGACUAGUGUUAUUCAUCUUUAAUAGGUUUAAAGGGUACUUAGACGGUGGAUUAAGCCCCUAAAGGGAACUAAGAAACUAGAGUUUGAUGUAAGGAAGUAUUAAAGUACUGUUGGUGUAGAGAUGAAAUUCUAUCAUACCAAAUAUGGCACAGGUUUAGGCGAAAGCAUCUUCUUAUGUAAUAACUGACGUUGAAGGACGAAGGCUUUGUGUCGCGAACAGGAUUAGGUACCCCAGUAGUCUAAGCAGAAAAUGAUGAAUGUCAUAGGUUAGAUAUUUUUUUAGUCUAUAAAUGAAAGUGUAAGCAUUCCACCUCAAGAGUAAUUUGGCAACAUUGGAACUGAAAUCAUUAGACCGUUUCUGAAACCAGUAGUGAAGUAUGUUGUUUAAUUAGAUUAUCCCGCCAAAAACCUUACCACAAUUUGAAUUGUUAUGCUAUUUUACAAUAACAAGCGCUGCACGGCUGUCUUCAGUUAAUGUCGUGAGAUUUUGGUUAGUUCCAUUAAAUU